This 497-nucleotide ribosomal RNA is filed under the name uncultured bacterium. RNAcentral's name for it is "partial 16S ribosomal RNA". It matches the Rfam family "Bacterial small subunit ribosomal RNA", at positions 28 to 507 of the family's 1533-position model. The record is from RNAcentral.
GAUGAACGCUGGCGGCGUGCCUAAUACAUGCAAGUCGAGCGAACAGACGAGGAGCUUGUUGCUCGGAGGUGAGCGGCGGACAAGGGGGUAACAAGUGGAUAACCUACUUAUCACACUGGGAUAACAUCGGGAAAACGGAGCUAAUACCGGAGAAUAUAUUGAACCGCAUGGAUCAUUAGUGUAGGAAGGAUUUGCUGUCGCUUGGAGAUGGAUCCGCGCCGCAUUAGCUGGUUGGUAGGGUAAGGGCUUACCAAGGCAACGAUGCGUAGCCGACCUGAGAGGGUGGUCGGCCACACUGGAACUGAGACACGGUCCAGACUCCUACGGGAGGCAGCAGUAGGGAAUCUUCCGCAAUGGGCGAAAGCUUGACGGAGCAACGCCGCGUGAGUGAUGAAGGUCUUCGGAUCGUAAAACUCUGUUAUUAGGGAAGAACAAAUGUGUAAGUAACUAUGCACGUCUUGACGGUACCUAAUCAGAAAGCCACGGCUAACUACGUG